AAUAGGAGAGCACAUGGAGCAGUCACUACCGAUUAGUUGAUAACUCAUGACAUCUUACUGUCAAGAAGGCAAAAACUGGGGACCUGAAGAACUUCUGACUAUUUCACCAAUGAACUGGAUUUGGAGUGGUGGAAAAAAGCAGGCAACCAAUAACCAAUACCGUGUACAAUUGUACUGAACCAUGUAGACAGCUGCUGGUCUCAGGGGCAUUAUGCUACUAAGAAAAGAAAGCAGAAGAUCAAAGUGCAGUUAAGUAUCUCAUAAGUAAUUUUCUCCUUGGCCUCUUUGCAUUCAUGAUCAUUUUACUUGCAACAGGAAAUUCAUAGAACACACUAUGAAAUUCAAUAACAUUUUCUUUGGGAGUAUUUCAGCUGAAGCCACCCUAAAAUGUGAUCUCAGUGGUGUGAAGUUUUAUUAUCAGAUUCACAGUGAAGAAUUUGGGAAUGUGCAUUCUUGAACACAAGAACUUCACUAAGAUUUUAAGUAAAAAAAAAAAAA
This 498-nucleotide long non-coding RNA is filed under the name Numida meleagris (helmeted guineafowl). RNAcentral describes it as "lncRNA (ENSNMEG00000009973.1)". The record is from RNAcentral. Lineage: Eukaryota; Metazoa; Chordata; Aves; Galliformes; Numididae.